CCUACGGGAGGCAGCAGUGAGGAAUAUUGGUCAAUGGACGAGAGUCUGAACCAGCCAAGUAGCGUGAAGGAUGACUGCCCUAUGGGUUGUAAACUUCUUUUAUAUGGGAAUAAAAUGUUCCACGUGUGGGAUUUUGUAUGUACCAUAUGAAUAAGGAUCGGCUAACUCCGUGCCAGCAGCCGCGGUAAUACGGAGGAUCCGAGCGUUAUCCGGAUUUAUUGGGUUUAAAGGGAGCGUAGGUGGAUUGUUAAGUCAGUUGUGAAAGUUUGCGGCUCAACCGUAAAAUUGCAGUUGAAACUGGAAGUCUUGAGUACAGUAGAGGUGGGCGGAAUUCGUGGUGUAGCGGUGAAAUGCUUAGAUAUCACGAAGAACUCCGAUUGCGAAGGCAGCUCACUGGACUGCAACUGACGUUGAGGCCCGAAAGCGUGGGGAGCAAACAGGAUUAGAUACCCCUGUAGUC
This 460-nucleotide ribosomal RNA is filed under the name uncultured bacterium. Its description in RNAcentral is "partial 16S ribosomal RNA". It matches the Rfam family "Bacterial small subunit ribosomal RNA", at positions 338 to 795 of the family's 1533-position model. The record is from RNAcentral.